Molecule: long non-coding RNA, 1434 nt
Organism: Plodia interpunctella (Indianmeal moth)
Lineage: Eukaryota; Metazoa; Arthropoda; Insecta; Lepidoptera; Pyralidae
Exons: 2
Source: RefSeq, a predicted model, not a curated record
ACGUUACGCGCAGCUAAUACAUGUAAAGUGCAGCGCAAGCGCCGGCCUGGAUGCACCGCGUGACGACAGUCGCCUACACGUGCCGCCGAGUCAGCGCAACGUGCCUUCAAAUCCGGGAAUUGCGCGACACAUCGCGCAAUACUCACUUUUGGUUCUAACAUCGACCAUUAGACUUCAUUUUAGUUUUAUGUUGUAAUUUUAUUUCAUUUAAUAAAUUAGUUAAAUAAAUUUUGGUUUUUUUUAAAGUCUUCGGCUGCAGUAAACUUAACUGGCGCAGUCGGUAGGAUCUCGAGUCAGUUCGUGCGCGACAAGAUUUCCGCUAUAUCCCGGUUCGAGUCCCGCGUGACUGACUGGCAUUCCAGCCCUCAUCGAGAUCGUCGAAUCUACGGAAUCUGCAGCCCGGAGGUGUAUCCGAACAUUGAUACAGCAGAAAAACCAAGAUAUGUAUAUCGACAGAAUGUCCGAAGGUCAACACUUGGUACAUAUGCAAAGAAGAGCUGCAACAAAAGAUUCGAGACAAUGAAGAUUGUAUCCAGCAUCUCAUCAUGGACCAGUCAAUCAGUUCAUCUUGUCAAUUCAUUCAUGCAAACCUUACCAGCUCAGCCCUCGAGAAGCUAGACGAUCAACACUAUACUAUCAGCCUGCCAACCACAACCAGACUACAUAUAUCCUGUAGACAAGAGUAUUACAAGAAUCUCCAAGGAACCUAUCUAGUGUCCGUCCCGCCUAGUUGUAUGUUGAAAACGUUGGACUUUGUUAUCUCAAACGUUCAGAAUCGUAUUAAAGGACACGCUGUACAAAUAGCGGAACUACCAACUGAGGAGCUCGCCACAUCAAAGCUUCAGCCAACUGUAAGACUAAACUCCAUCAAUUUAGAACAUCUACAUGAGACGAACGCUAAGAUAUCGCUACAGCAUCCUGCGACAUUACAGAAAAACGAUCUGAGCAGCCUCUACCAUACCACUAUACCUUCAUAUACGUUAUUAUUUGGAACAUUCAUAUUCGCCCUCAUCCUGACAUUAUACUGGAAACUCCGUCGCAGAAGUUCAAAAUCAAAGGAUGAAGAUAUCCCGAAGGCUGAUUAUCCCGAUGGACAUUAUUCCCGUAUCCAAGACAUCAAGCCUAAAGAUGUGAAAAUCGACAUCAGCAACAUUCCGGCAAUAUCCUCAGUAAGACCUACGGAUAGUUGCCGAUCUGCGGGGGGAGGCGUUACGCGCAGCUAAUACAUGUAAAGUGCAGCGCAAGCGCCGGCCUGGAUGCACCGCGUGACGACAGUCGCCUACACGUGCCGCCGAGUCAGCGCAACGUGCCUUCAAAUCCGGGAAUUGCGCGACACAUCGCGCAAUACUCACUUUUGGUUCUAACAUCGACCAUUAGACUUCAUUUUAGUUUUAUGUUGUAAUUUUAUUUCAUUUAAUAAAUUAGUUAAAUAAA